This is a small nuclear RNA of Heterocephalus glaber (naked mole-rat), 104 nucleotides long. NCBI's taxonomy places the organism in Eukaryota, Metazoa, Chordata, Mammalia, Rodentia, Bathyergidae. The record is from Ensembl.
GUGCUCACUUCAGCAGCACAUAUGUUAAGAUUAGAAUACUAAAAAUAUUGGCAUGGGCCCUCCCCAAGGAUGACUUACAAAUUGGUGAAACAUUCCAUGUUAAA